This 234-nucleotide ribosomal RNA is filed under the name Acrapex sysciodes. RNAcentral describes it as "partial 12S small subunit ribosomal RNA". The record is from RNAcentral. Lineage: Eukaryota; Metazoa; Arthropoda; Insecta; Lepidoptera; Noctuidae.
UUUACUUAAUUUAUAAUUUUGUAUAUCGUUGUUAUAAAAAUAUUUUUUAAUAAAAUUAAUAUUUAAAAAUUAUUAUUAUAAAUUUAAAUCAGAUCAAGAUGCAGAUUAUAAUUAAGAAUAUAAUGGAUUACAAUAAAAUUAUUUAAAUGAAUAUUAGUUUGUAAAAAUUAAUUGAAAGUGGAUUUAAAUGUAAUUUUAUUUAAUUUAUUAAAAUGAUUAAAAAUUAAAAUAUGU